CCCAACUCUUGAGCACCUCCUCCUUAUUUUUGUUUAUGGAUCACUAGCAAAAGGUACAUAAUGUGUACCCUAAAAUAUAUGAAAAUUUCAAAAAAAAUUUGGAUAGAUUCGGUGCAAAAUUGAAAGAGUUUUGGAUUUCUAAAACUCUAUCUCAUAGAAUUCGAAAUCCAAACUUAUUCCUUUUUUAUUUGAUCCAAACCACCUUCCAUGUAAGAAAGAAGAGAGGAGACCUUUUGUGAACAUGGGAGAGACCUGGGAGAGGAUUUUUGUUGCACAAAAUAAGAGGA
RNAcentral lists this long non-coding RNA (287 nucleotides) under Elaeis guineensis (African oil palm). RNAcentral's name for it is "long non-coding RNA (EGUI_LNC047870)". The record is from RNAcentral. Lineage: Eukaryota; Viridiplantae; Streptophyta; Magnoliopsida; Arecales; Arecaceae.